CAGUCGAGCGGACAGAAGGGAGCUUGCUCCCGGAUGUUAGCGGCGGACGGGUGAGUAACACGUGGGUAACCUGCCUGUAAGACUGGGAUAACUCCGGGAAACCGGAGCUAAUACCGGAUAGUUCCUUGAACCGCAUGGUUCAAGGAUGAAAGACGGUUUCGGCUGUCACUUACAGAUGGACCCGCGGCGCAUUAGCUAGUUGGUGAGGUAACGGCUCACCAAGGCGACGAUGCGUAGCCGACCUGAGAGGGUGAUCGGCCACACUGGGACUGAGACACGGCCCAGACUCCUACGGGAGGCAGCAGUAGGGAAUCUUCCGCAAUGGACGAAAGUCUGACGGAGCAACGCCGCGUGAGUGAUGAAGGUUUUCGGAUCGUAAAGCUCUGUUGUUAGGGAAGAACAAGUGCAAGAGUAACUGCUUGCACCUUGACGGUACCUAACCAGAAAGCCACGGCUAACUACGUGCCAGCAGCCGCGGUAAUACGUAGGUGGCAAGCGUUGUCCGGAAUUAUUGGGCGUAAAGGGCUCGCAGGCGGUUUCUUAAGUCUGAUGUGAAAGCCCCCGGCUCAACCGGGGAGGGUCAUUGGAAACUGGGAAACUUGAGUGCAGAAGAGGAGAGUGGAAUUCCACGUGUAGCGGUGAAAUGCGUAGAGAUGUGGAGGAACACCAGUGGCGAAGGCGACUCUCUGGUCUGUAACUGACGCUGAGGAGCGAAAGCGUGGGGAGCGAACAGGAUUAGAUACCCUGGUAGUCCACGCCGUAAACGAUGAGUGCUAAGUGUUAGGGGGUUUCCGCCCCUUAGUGCUGCAGCUAACGCAUUAAGCACUCCGCCUGGGGAGUACGGUCGCAAGACUGAAACUCAAAGGAAUUGACGGGGGCCCGCACAAGCGGUGGAGCAUGUGGUUU
Molecule: ribosomal RNA, 906 nt
Filed under: Bacillus aerius
Lineage: Bacteria; Bacillati; Bacillota; Bacilli; Caryophanales; Bacillaceae
Description: bacterial SSU rRNA
Rfam family: Bacterial small subunit ribosomal RNA
Source: RNAcentral